CCUCUCCCCCCUCCUGAGGGCAGCUCUCCCUGGGGCUCUCCCGGGGGCAUGUCCUGCUCCAGCCCUUCUCAGCUUCCUUCCUCCCCUGGGACCCUCCUGGCUCAGCCCCCAUUGUUCUCCCCUCAAGGCCCGGGAAAACAUCACGUAGACUAGUUUUGGGGGACCAGGACAUCUUGAGGCCUUCUCCCCAUACUCCCCCCAGACACGAUGGGGCGAGGGGUACCCUGGGGGGCUCUCCACAAUCCCCUUCUCCCGCCCACAGAGCAAGGAGCACGUCUGGGGACCUUCCUUGCCACUGGCCUGUUCUUCCUCGCCCUCUUGUUCCUGGGCCUUCGGAGACACCGAGGGUAGAGCCAGAGCCUUCCUCCCCACUUCUUGGAGCCACGGAAGCUGCCCGUGCCCAGGCCUGAAGAGCUUCCUCCACCUUAGAGUCAGCUUUGGCUCAGAGAGCUCCAGAGAUAGGGUCCCCGAUCCUCUCCCACAGGUGCUCCAUGCUGGCACGGUGCGCAGGCUCAGGAAGCACCCCUCACCCCGAGCCUAGGUUCGCCUUCCCUUCAGCUGUUCCUUGUCCAGCCUGCAGAAUGGUCCGACUGCCCCUCACUCCCGGAGCCCCUUCAGGGGCAGCUCUUCCGCCCCCUCCCCCUGACUCAGCUGCCAGCGUCGGGUGGGCAAGGCCCAGCCCUGGCCCCUUCUGGCUCUGGGGACCGCUGAGCACGUCUGGGUCCAGUGCCCUUCCCUCUCACAUUGGGUCUUUCGUCCUUACUGCAAACGGACCCUUUUCUGGGCAGACGUCUCAUCGUCCCCCCAGAUCUGGGAUUCUCUGAGCUCCACCUGAUCAUCUUGGGCUCCUUCCCUGGCUCCCCCUUAGCUCCUCAAUGGGGGCCCACCGUGCUCCGGGCCAGGCCGGGCAGCCACCUCCUCCUCCUGCCCUGACCCAAUGCAGCCUAAGGCAACAUGGCCGGUCCUUGGCCAUCAUUCCAUGCAGUUGACUCAUAUUGAGUUUCGAACCCCCUGAAAUCCUCAGGUAACUUUUCAGAGGAGUCGGCUUUCUCCUCUUGCCCUUGGGCCGGUUAUUGCUUGGACUCCUGUUGGGUUUCACUGAUUAGUUUGGAUUUGGAGCCCGGCUAGGACCUUAUUCUCCAGAAAGGGGACCUGAGGAAGGGGCCGAGGAGAGUCCCCCGCCGGCCAGAUUCUGAAAUUCAUCCUGAGGCCUUCGCCUAAGGUCCGAGAGACGAGUCGGUGGCGAGGAGAGGCUGGGGCAGCCACUGGACAGGGAGCAGAGCCUGGAAAAGUAGGGGGAGGAGGGGGGACGGAGGAAAUGCCCAGAGCCCUUUGCCCCCAAAACUCCAAUGUGUCUCAAUAAAAAUCGCCGUUCUUCUCUCA
RNA transcript from Sarcophilus harrisii (Tasmanian devil), 1383 nucleotides. RefSeq lists it as uncharacterized. The record is from RefSeq and is a predicted model, not a curated record. The transcript has 2 exons. Lineage: Eukaryota; Metazoa; Chordata; Mammalia; Dasyuromorphia; Dasyuridae.